Molecule: long non-coding RNA, 158 nt
Organism: Thalassophryne amazonica
Lineage: Eukaryota; Metazoa; Chordata; Actinopteri; Batrachoidiformes; Batrachoididae
Exons: 3
Source: RefSeq, a predicted model, not a curated record
AAUACUAAUUUUCCACCAUAAUUUACAAAUAAAUGAUUUAAAAAUCCUACAAUGUGAUUUCCUGGAAUUUUUAUUCUCAUUUGUCUCUAAUAGUUGAUGUGUACCUAUGUUCAAAAUUAUAGACCUCUCUCACCUUUCUAAGUGAUGGCUGACUUUUU